Molecule: long non-coding RNA, 654 nt
Organism: Magallana angulata
Lineage: Eukaryota; Metazoa; Mollusca; Bivalvia; Ostreida; Ostreidae
Exons: 3
Source: RefSeq, a predicted model, not a curated record
CCCAGCUGAUAUCAUUUUGCAACAGGUACAUUUUACUUUGGGGAAACCUUAUUCAUCAACAAAGGUAAUUUCAUGACUCUCUGGGCUACCAUCCGUGUUGACCAACCUCUGUAUAAAACACGAGAGUUUGUUGACAGUUCUGAUUGAGUUCAUUUCGAUAAGGUUUAUCUGUCCGAGUGAUUUCGGCAUGCAUCCACAACGAAGUGUCAAGUCAGCAUUGAAUUGAUAAAGGGAGAGAGAUUCACCCCCAUUCAGCAGGACCUCUCUACUGGAGGAUGACCGCUCAGACUUAUCGAAAACAAGAAUUGUAGGAUUGCAGCCUACAAUGAAAGGAAGACCUCGGAAGCCCCGGAUCCUGUGAGCUAUCCGGACCGGAAGCUCCUUGUGUAGAUACUGGGCACUCCGCUGUAACAGACAAAAGAUGUGUUGACAUUCGUUGUGUUAACUAGUCCAGGACGAGACAAAUGGAAUGGGGAGGGACAACUGGAUGUUACCUGCCGAACUUCAGUCCGAAAACUAACAUUUCCCCAAGAAUAUCAAUGGCGUGUCGGAUUAACUUUUUAGACGAGUGUGCUGUAAGGAAAAGGCCCUCAUAAUUAAUUGUAGGCAAUAAUAUAAUUAUAUUUUGUUUAUAAUAAAAUGUUUAAAUUCAAA